AAUUGGAGAUGAAGAUAUAAAGGAUUGACACAAGUUCAACAAAGCAAGAAAUGACUCGCAAUGUCUUCCAACUCCUCUGUGUCAUCUUCUUGUCGAUCCUCCUCCUCUUAAAUCAUCAGAAGACAUCGGCACUACCCAAACGUAGGAUGGACAUUAAAGAUGGGAUUCCGGGAAACAUACAUCCGCCUCCCCCACCUCCCGGAGGUGACGUACCACCCGGAAGUCACGAACCCGGAACUGACGGGAAGAAGAAGCGCUGAAAGCGAAGGAAAAAACAUCAGUUAUAAUAUCAUGCAGGCAGGAUGCCCAUAGGAAGCAUCCACAAAUAAAUCAGACAUAUAUUGCUUGGGCAUAUGUCUUGUUUUUUCUGUUGUCUGUUUUGCUCAGGAAAUUCCAUGAAUCAUAUAAGCUGUUAACUAAUUAAGAUACACAAUCUCUAGUUAUCAUUUCUUCAAAUUUAUAUUAAUAUUGGUCUCAUUUUAAGAGUA
This is a long non-coding RNA of Camellia sinensis, 488 nucleotides long. RefSeq lists it as uncharacterized. Lineage: Eukaryota; Viridiplantae; Streptophyta; Magnoliopsida; Ericales; Theaceae. The record is from RefSeq and is a predicted model, not a curated record.